RNAcentral lists this long non-coding RNA (1554 nucleotides) under Anas platyrhynchos platyrhynchos (common mallard). RNAcentral's name for it is "lncRNA (ENSAPLG00000021179.1)". Lineage: Eukaryota; Metazoa; Chordata; Aves; Anseriformes; Anatidae. The record is from RNAcentral.
CAGUUGCCUUCAUCAUACCGUUUUGAUACUGAUUAUAUCCCUUUUAUUUUAUCUAAUCCCUUCCAUUUUAUCUAAUUGUCUAGGGGUCCCCUGCAGAUGGAUAUAACCAAAGAUACGAUGCAAAAGGUGAUCCUGGGUUGCCAGGAAUGCCUGGGCUUCAGGGUGCACAGGGUGUUCAAGGAUAUCCUGGAGAAAAUGGGCCACAGGGCCCUCCAGGAACUUCAGGAAUGCCAGGGAGACCAGGACCUCCUGGACCUAAGGGUCUUAUGGGAAUAAAAGUAAUAGGAACCAAAGGAAGAAAGGGUGACACUGGAUUAACUGGACCCCCUGGACCACCAGGAACCGUUAUUGUGACAUUAAGUGGUCCAGACAACAUGACGGACUUGAAAGGAGAGAAAGGGGAAAAAGGAUCAAGAGGACUUCCAGGACCAAUGGGGUUUACAGGGCCAGUUGGUGAUUCUCAAAGUGAAAAGGGUGACCGAGGAGAACCCGGAGCACAGGUAUGUGGAAAAAGUACUUAUAAAUAAGUUAGAGAAUUAAAUAGGAAGGUACCACUUGUUAUUGAAAUGACUUUCAAAGUUUCACAUAAAAACUUCUCAACAAAAGGUUCCUGUUCAUGGUAACUAAACAUGUAUGAAUUUCUAACAGUGUACCAAUUUAUAAUCAAAAAAUUAUAGCUUUCUAUAAGAUUUUUAACCCUAAAAUACUCAAUAAUGUUUUGUGGCAUUUUUCUGAACAAAACAUUCUAAUCCCUCAAUUUCAAAUAAUUUUUCAAAACAAUAUUAAGAAAUAUCUCUUACUGUCUUACUUAUCUUAAUGUCUAACAUAAACACAUUUUUAAACUUUUCCAUGCUUAUUGUGGCUAUAAUAAUUUUUUUUCAUGCAAGAAAGGUUAACAAUGGAGGACUUGUACUAUCUGUAGAUUGCUCUUUCUUCACUUGCGUGGUGCUUUAACAACAAUGAUGCUGUAGACCAGCCCAAUGUUUACUUUUAUUAUUCCUAUGCAUUAUGAAAAAUUGAAGCAGUAACUCAGACAAAAAUUUAAAGUACCAAAAUUUCUUGCCAUCCAGGAUGUAUUGUCAUUUUUCUAUCUUCUGUAUUCUGUAUUAUGUUAACAGUAUGCAAAACUUUACUAGAACUCGUCUUAACUGACCUUUCACAUCCUCUUUUCUGGAGAAAGUAGUAGAACACUCUUGCUUUUCUAACAAACUGUGUUAAGACAUUGACUGACCAGCCAUUCUAAAAAAAAAAUAUUACUACAAUAUACCAAAUAAGUGUGAAUUUCAUGUUCUAGAAAAAAAGGAUCAUUUUGUGCAAAUAAGUUUGAGUCACUAGUGAUAUCACUGCUACUUCCAGCUCCCCCUCUUCUCUUAAACCUUAACCUUUGGUUAAGUUCUGCCAUCUCUUCAGUAUUACUGGUUUUUCUGUUGCUUUCAUCAUAAUUCAUGGUCUGAUCUUUUUUUUUCUUUUCUUUUUUUUUUUUAAUUAUUUUCAUUUCCUUGGACUUACUCUGUGCAAAAUAAACCUCUGAAAUGUACUUUCUUUCCUGUUGUU